RNAcentral lists this long non-coding RNA (514 nucleotides) under Callithrix jacchus (white-tufted-ear marmoset). RNAcentral describes it as "lncRNA (ENSCJAG00000076181.1)". The record is from RNAcentral. Lineage: Eukaryota; Metazoa; Chordata; Mammalia; Primates; Cebidae.
AUAAGGCUACAGAAACCUACCACAGCAAAGAAACCAAUGGGAGAAGAGACAGGCACUCCUUCUGUCACCCAGGCUGAAGUGCAGCAGCCUGAUCAUAGCUCACUGCAGCCUUGAAUUCUUGGACUCAAGUGAUGCUUCCACUCCCGCCUCCCAAGUAGCUGGGACUACAGGCUCAUACCACCACACCUGACUGCUUUCUCUCUUUUAGAAAAGGUACCCCUAACCUUGUAUAAGGUAUUCAUCCGACUUCUCUCAGAAGAGUUGAAAGAAUUCUCUCUUUGGACCAUGCUGUGGUCCUUAGAUCUCCUAACCCUUCUCCCUUCUCAUCUGUCAGUUAAGGCUUUGUCUUGAACUGCUAACACAGAUCUAUGUUUUAAGAGCCUGUAUGUCAAUAUGGAAACAAACUCUUUGGCACAUUCUAUUUCUUGAAAGAUUAUCAGACAGAAUCAACAAUUGGAAGGAAGAGUUGCCCGGAAGCUAGCUGCAUCAAAUGGUUCCUCUGCAGGAAAUUUUG